UUUGAGCGUGGUGCACCGUAUGCCUGGUUCUUGUUCAGGUUAUGGGACACCAGUAAAUCGUGGCUCGCGUUUGCUGUGAAGCGUCUCCCUAGUUUCAGACCUCCGUGUGUCAUGCGUCCUGGCUGGUAGCGUGAUCAAGGCGCUCUUAUUGAAUGUAUCGUUGCGGAAGGUGCCCUUGUGGUUUUAACACUCCGGCGGGCUAGUUGACCACUGUAGAGGUGUACACGAAGCGAGCAGAAUACCGUGCUGUCAUGCAUUAUGUGUGUACAUGGCGGCGAACUAUGCAAAAUUCAUAUGUCACAUUUUGGGACGUUACAAGAACACACCAGGGCGGUCGCCUCGAAUCGAUUUGCUCUCCGAAACCACGAAAGUAUGUCACGUCCAUUCGUGUUCGCGUCUGUUCACUACGAAGAUAGAGAUAGUGUCGCAUAUGAAGCAGUACAUACGAGAGGGUCAUUAUCAGAUCUCCUUAUGAACGCUGCCAGAAGAAGUUCCGUGCCAUCUCUGCGGUUUGUGUACACCUUCUUAUGUUCUUCCUUUGAAAAAGUAAAACGGUGAGUCUAAUUUCCUUUCUCUUUGCAGUGUUUUGAUGCCAGAGCUGACUGAUGGGUGCACAUGGUUCCUUCGUAGGUUCUUCCUUUGAAAAAAUAAAUGUGUUUUGAUGCCGGAGCUGACUGAUGGGUGCACAUGGCUCAUUCGUAUGUUCUUCCUUUGAAAAAAUAAAUGUGUUUUGAUGCCAGAGCUGACUGAUGGGUGCACAUGGCUCAUUCGUAUGUUCUUCCUUUGAAAAAAUAAAUGUGUUUUGAUGCCAGAGCUGACUGAUGGGUGCACAUGGCUCCUUCGUAUGUUCUUCCUUUGAAAAAAUAAAUGUGUUUUGAUGCCAGAGCUGACUGAUAGGUGCACAUGGCCACUUCGUACGUUCUUCCUUUGAAAAAAUAAAUGUGUUUUGAUGCCAGAGCUGACUGAUGGGUGCACAUGGUUAAUUCGUAGGUUUUUCCUUUGAAAAAAUAAACGGGUUUUGAUGCCAGAGGUGGCUGGCGCAUUUUCAUCACUAUGUACAUAGAAAAUAAAUCCCAAUGUGACAAACA
Ornithodoros turicata is the source of this 1088-nucleotide long non-coding RNA. RefSeq lists it as uncharacterized. NCBI's taxonomy places the organism in Eukaryota, Metazoa, Arthropoda, Arachnida, Ixodida, Argasidae. The transcript has 7 exons. The record is from RefSeq and is a predicted model, not a curated record.